GACGAACGCUGGCGGCGCGCUUAACACAUGCAAGUCGAACGGAAAGGCCUGCUUUCCCUUGUGGAUUGCGGGUACUCGAGUGGCGAACGGGUGAGUAACACGUGAGUGAUCUGCCCCCAACUUGGGUAUAAGCCUGGGAAACUGGGUCUAAUUCCCGAUAGGACUGCAGGGUGGUGCCUGUGGUGGAAAACGAUUUUCUAGUGGUUGGGGAUGAGCUCGCGGCCUAUCAGCUUGUUGGUGGGGUAAUGGCCUACCAAGGCGGCGACGGGUAGCCGGCCUGGGAGGGUGGACGGCCACAUUGGGACUGAGAUACGGCCCAGACUCCUACGGGAGGCAGCAGUGGGGAAUAUUGCACAAUGGGCGGAAGCCUGAUGCAGCGACGCCGCGUGGGGGAUGACGGCCUUCGGGUUGUAAACUCCUUUCGACCGCGAGGAAGCCGCCUGGUUGGAAGGGUGGUGACGGUAGUGGUAGAAGAAGCACCGGCUAACUACGUG
Molecule: ribosomal RNA, 494 nt
Filed under: uncultured bacterium
Lineage: Bacteria
Description: partial 16S ribosomal RNA
Rfam family: Bacterial small subunit ribosomal RNA
Source: RNAcentral